GGGGGGGAAGGAGAGAAAUCAACACCUAGCCAGGGGAGUGGUUCGCAACAUGCUUCUUCCUAAAUGGUGGAAAUUCCUUCGAAAAAUUCGAGUUCAUCCAAAAUUCAGAAUGUUUCUUUGGCGAUUUCUCCAUGAUGCUAUCCCUGUAAAGGAUACUCUAUUCAAAUGAAUCCCUAUGGAAGAUACCUAUGCUUGGUGUAUUUCUCAACCAGAAUCAAUUUUGGCAUCUUUUCUUUGA
Macadamia integrifolia is the source of this 238-nucleotide long non-coding RNA. RefSeq lists it as uncharacterized. The record is from RefSeq and is a predicted model, not a curated record. Lineage: Eukaryota; Viridiplantae; Streptophyta; Magnoliopsida; Proteales; Proteaceae. The transcript has 2 exons.